Non-coding RNA from Pelobates cultripes (western spadefoot toad), 4058 nucleotides. NCBI's taxonomy places the organism in Eukaryota, Metazoa, Chordata, Amphibia, Anura, Pelobatidae. The record is from the annotation of a GenBank genome assembly.
GUAGAGACUUAAAACGCAUACUUCAUAUCCGGAGGAAGGUUCAGGGAUACUGUACCUGGGUGAGGCCUCGCUCCUCUGCAGACAUAGCAGUUAGACUUGUUAUGUUUAGUAGCAUUGUAUUUCAUCCAUUCAAGUCACAAGUUAGUGUCAGAGAAACCUGUCUCUACAGCCCUCUUAUCCUCAAAUAUGGGAUGACUACCAUGUCUUUUAAAGUCCUAAUGUGUGGUUUGAGGGGAUUAACAGUCAUGUGCGUGGCACCUACCCAUUCAGCUGAGUCAUACAUGUCCUGUAAGAAAAAGGUCUCCUGUUUAUUGUAUAAACCUCUUCCCUUCCAAUUCAGAUUUUAUUAGCCGUAAUGCUUGGGAGAAUAGAUUCAAACUUAGUUUCUUACCUUAAAAUCAUUUGGUACCCCCCUUGACACCCCUAUGGCAUUAAUAUACAUAUAUAUAUAUGUGUGUGGGUAAAACCACCCUUUAUAGGGGUACUCCUUUUUGUCCUGAAGCAUGAAUGAGGUGUGUCAAGAGUACCUUGGGGAUUGUCAUGUGUUAUGUGUAUGGACAUAAUAACCUAGGCUAGGGCACAUUUACUUAUUCUUAGAAAUCUUGCCUCAUGCUACCCUAGUACUGGCAGAUUCAGAUCAUUUAAACAUUCAAUAUUAAUAUCACCACAAACUCAAGAUAAGCAGAUGAUCCUGAAGAAGCUUUGACUGUGCGUAUGGCACCUCAGACAUGAGGGCUGCAGGGUAAGGAGUAUGUUUGUUUCUCUUUAGUUUCACGAGGUCCCCUUUUGGGGUAUUUGGCUUUCCAUCGAUGGCAGGUGGUCAGGCAUUAUUAUGGCCAUCAAAACACCCACUUGUUGAUAUUUAUUUAUUUAUUUAUUUAUUUUCAACAAGUAUCUUUGUUCUCUAAGAAUGGAGUUUCAAAAAGGGUUGUCAAGAUCAACAAAUGCUACUUCACAUAAUGCAGAGGCAGGCUUGAUUCUGGAAUGAUGAAUCCACGGGGUGAUCUCUGUAACUUUCACAGUGCACUACUCAGCAUGUGGUCUUGGUUAUCACUUUGGUGGCUGGAUAGGCCUCUGGCCAUCCUGAAAACAUGUCUGCUAUAAUUAGUGCAUAGUUGAAUCAGCCAUUCUUUGGCAUUCUGGAUGUAGUCGACUUGACUCCUCUGGAAGAGAUAAUGAGGUUUGGCUAGAUGCUUUGGCUCCAUUCUUCCUGAGUUGCCCUUGGCACAAAUGGCACAAGAUUUACAGUAACUGUUGGUCAGAGAGGCAAUUCCUGAUACUUCAGAGUAUUUAUUGAUCAAAAGAGUUCAUGAGGGUUCUGGACAGAUGCUCCGUAGGCCCACUGGACCACUGCUGAGUAUAUGUUCUUGGGCAAGUAGAACUUGAGAUUGUUGAAGUACAGCCUGUCUUUAAGAGUUGCCCCUUUCUGUUUCCAGCUUGUGGUUUGUUUGUUUUUUCUUUCUUUCCAGGGUCAGUGGGUAGGAUCUUACAUGGUGAAUAUGGGAGUUUCUUCAGUAGACACUUUUCUGUCCACUUUCCUUAGUGCACUUACAACUUAUUGAACAACUUAGUCAGCCAGAGAGUUGCCACAUGCUUUCUCCGAGAUCAGUCUUCCUUCAGAGAUCUUGCAUGCUGUGAUGGGAGCCUAUAGCUCAACUUCUUGUGCAGACAUUGUUGAGGUGAGAUACCUGGUCCACUGUAGUGACAGCAAAUCCGGAACAGAUCAUAAGAAAAAUGCUAAAAAAAAAAUAAUAGUCAGUGUCUUAUCAUUUCCCCCCUUGGGAAGUGGCAGAAGAGUGGCCAGGUAAAUAGAGUAUCCCUGCAGGGUGACAUUAUCCUGCACAGAAUUCGUCCAUCACAAGGAGAGGUGGGAUAUUGCAUGGAAAGUCUCAGGUAACCAGGGCACCAUUCGACACCAGAGCCUUAACCUGUUAGGGAAUAGUAAGAGCUUGGACAGGCUUUGGGGCCUGUAUAAUUCAGGUAAAGGUAUUGGGGGAACUAGCUAGGACCCUUGCCUCUUGGUCAGGUUUCACUGUGUGGAACAAAAUAAAUAAUAAGGUGAUAGGGGCCUGCAAGUGGGGGAAGGACAUCUGCACCUAGCAGAUUAAUUGGACAGGUGAAAGUAACCACAAAGCAAGGCUUAGUUAACAGGCUACUCCAAAGAGAGCCAUCUACACUUAUGCAGGAGACAACAAUGUUAGACAGGAAUGAGGAGUCAGGCAGGCCUUGCUUGGUACAAAUAGAUGUCAUGUGGCCUGCUAUACAAGGCUGCAUAUAGUUGUUGGGCAUGGGCCUUACUAUGUACUAAAACUUAAGUUAAAAGAAAAUUUGGGACAACCUGAAGUGAUACUUCUCCACAGAUACUAACUCAUCGUUGAUGACAUUGUUAAUACAGGUAGCCUGAUCAGCCAAUUUAUCUUAGGCUUAAACAAGUCACACCAUGUAGUGGAAUUGGUCAUUAGGAUUCGGGAAAUUCUACAGUAAAAGGGCAUAGUAAGGAUGUACGCGAUGUUACUUUAGGAGUAGGCGUAGCUGUGGAUAGGGGUAAAUUAGCCUUAUCCAUUCCCAUAUAUUAUUCCUUUUGUCUUCAGUAUAUCCAAACCAUGUGUAUGUCCAGGCGUUACAAUAUACAGUAAUCCAUUAUCAGUCAUGAUAUUAAAAUCUCAUUCUCAUGAAUUAAAUCAAAGAUUUUAAAUCAACCUCAGAAGCAACAAAGAAUAAAUCUAUUGUUUUUUCUUCUGUAAAAUGAUUGGAGUUACUAUAUAAUUGUAUACACCCAACAUAACAUUGCAUGUUCCUCACUGCUACAUUAGUGCAUCUCAUUCUGCCAUAUGUGCAAACUUGAUUUAAAUUUUUAUUUUAAUUAACCUAAUACUUUCUUAUAACACAUAUAAAAACAAUGAAAGACAGUACAGACUAACAAUUCAUUUAAAACAAUAAACUGACAUAGAUCUCUAUUCUUGUGCUGUUCUUAAUUCUGGAAUCAGCCUGUGUACAGCUGUUGGUACACAUAUCCAUGCUCAUUCCCUAAACUGAUCAUAUCUCUUGAAGUUAUCUGAUUCUUAUAACUUUCUGUGUUACACUGCAUUGCUUGUCUGUCUCCUAAUUUCCAUAUAUUAUUUUAUCAUUGUCCUCAAAUUUUACAAGCGUGGUCAGUCUACAUGCCAUUUGAGUCGGCAGCCAUAUUUUAAACAAUCUAUUCCUUUGUUCGUCAUUUAGGCUGUAUUUGUCCACAUUUGACUCAAACAUUCCAGCAUUAGUAAAUGCAUCCACUGACGUGUCAUAAACUGGAAUACAUUUCACAAUUUUCAUUAAUUGUUCAUGUAUUUUCAAAUUAAGUUUUGCAGCUCUGUCUUGAAAUUUAUAUUUUCUGCAAAUCACUCUGUGAGGAUACAUUUUCAGUAUCUAUUGGUUCUGGGAUUAGAUUCUGUGUCUGUAUUUUUCUUGUAUUAACACACACUUGCUUAACUUCAUUUCUAAGCUGGCAAAUAAGAUCAUUUCUUAGUUCAACUCUAUCCUCUAAUUCACAGACUGUUUCUGACUGUUUACAGCAUGUGCUCCCUGUUACAUUGUUACACUGUUCAUUUAAAUCUGAUUUGUCUUCUGUUAACCCAUUCAAAUCUACUUCUUUUUCUGAUGAUUCUAAAUUGUCUUGACCUGCAUUACGUUUACAAAUCAAUGCACUGUAAGUACAGACUAGUUUCAUAACAUUUCUGAUCUUUUGUUUUUUCUUAUUAACAAACAAUUUCUUGUCAAUUUCACUAUUGGCAAUUUCACAUUGUGUGUAUAAAGAUUGCCACAAUACAGCAUCUGAAUAGCUGCUAUUAUAUGCAAACUGCAAUUUACUUUUCUCUGCAAUAUCAUUUAUGAAUUCCACAAUUCAUUUGUUCCAACAAAAUCCAACUUUCCUUAUUCCAACAUGCCAAUAACCUCUUACUUAACAACAUAUACAAGAUUACACAAAGUUCCUAACUAGGUUAUUCGUCCAGCAAAUAUACCUUGUUUCCCUCACAUUCCUCACUGAGUUUACAAGCAUUUCACCCAUUCACCCCACCCCC